UGUUCCCUGGGAUUGGCUUUGGGCUUUUCCUGCGCAGCUUAGGUGGAAGGCGAAGAAGGCCCCCUUCCGGGGGCCCGAGCCAUCAGUGAGAUACCACUCUGGAAGAGCUCGGAUUCUAACCUUGUCAGACCCGCGGGCCACACCACGGUCGGUA
Molecule: non-coding RNA, 154 nt
Filed under: Sorghum bicolor (sorghum)
Lineage: Eukaryota; Viridiplantae; Streptophyta; Magnoliopsida; Poales; Poaceae
Description: Bacterial large subunit ribosomal RNA
Rfam family: Bacterial large subunit ribosomal RNA
Source: Rfam by way of RNAcentral